AACGAACGCUGGCGGCAUGUCUAACACAUGCAAGUCGAACGAAGCCUUCGGGCUUAGUGGCGCACGGGUGCGUAACGCGUGGGAAUCUGCCCUUUGGUUCGGAAUAACAGUUGGAAACGACUGCUAGUACCGGAUGAUGACGAAAGUCCAAAGAUUUAUCGCCAGAGGAUGAGCCCGCGUAGGAUUAGCUAGUUGGUGUGGUAAAGGCGCACCAAGGCGACGAUCCUUAGCUGGUCUGAGAGGAUGAUCAGCCACACUGGGACUGAGACACGGCCCAGACUCCUACGGGAGGCAGCAGUGGGGAAUAUUGGACAAUGGGCGAAAGCCUGAUCCAGCAAUGCCGCGUGAGUGAUGAAGGCCCUAGGGUUGUAAAGCUCUUUUACCCGGGAUGAUAAUGACAGUACCGGGAGAAUAAGCCCCGGCUAACUCCGUGCCAGCCGCCGCCGUAA
This 449-nucleotide ribosomal RNA is filed under the name uncultured bacterium. Its description in RNAcentral is "partial 16S ribosomal RNA". It matches the Rfam family "Bacterial small subunit ribosomal RNA", at positions 29 to 523 of the family's 1533-position model. The record is from RNAcentral.